CCAAGGAGUCUAACAUGUGCGCGAGUCAUUGGGUCUUGCUCAGGCCCAAAGGCGCAAUGAAAGUGAAGGCCGGCCCGGUCGGCUGCGUUGGGAUCCCGCAUUCAUUUUUUGUGUGCGGGMGCACCAACGGCCCGUCCCGAUCGCCGCGUCGACGGGGCGGAGUGAGAGCGUACACGUUGGGACCCGAAAGAUGGUGAACUAUGCCUGGGCAGGACGAAGCCAGAGGAAACUCUGGUGGAGGUCCGCAGCGAUUCUGACGUGCAAAUCGAUCGUCAGACCUGGGUAUAGGGGCGAAAGACUAAUCGAACCAUCUA
Molecule: ribosomal RNA, 314 nt
Filed under: Stylocellus sp. Borneo 1
Lineage: Eukaryota; Metazoa; Arthropoda; Arachnida; Opiliones; Stylocellidae
Description: eukaryotic LSU rRNA
Rfam family: Eukaryotic large subunit ribosomal RNA
Source: RNAcentral